RNAcentral lists this ribosomal RNA (253 nucleotides) under uncultured bacterium. RNAcentral describes it as "partial 16S ribosomal RNA". It matches the Rfam family "Bacterial small subunit ribosomal RNA", at positions 524 to 776 of the family's 1533-position model. The record is from RNAcentral.
GACGAAGGGGGCUAGCGUUGUUCGGAAUUACUGGGCGUAAAGCGCGUGUAGGCGGUUGUCCAAGUUGGAUGUGAAAGCCUUGAGCUUAACUCAAGAAAUGCAUUCAGGACUGGAUGACUAGAGGACCGGAGAGGAUAGUGGAAUUCCCAGUGUAGUGGUGAAAUACGUAGAGAUUGGGAAGAACACCAGUGGCGAAGGCGGCUACCUGGACAAUUGCUGACGCUCAGGCACGAAAGCGUGGGGAGCAAAAGGG